UACGUAGGGUGCAAGCGUUGUCCGGAAUUAUUGGGCGUAAAGAGCUCGUAGGCGGUCUGUCGCGUCGGAUGUGAAAAUCCAGGGCUCAACCCUGGACCUGCAUUCGAUACGGGCAGACUAGAGUGCGGUAGGGGAGACUGGAAUUCCUGGUGUAGCGGUGAAAUGCGCAGAUAUCAGGAGCAACACCGGUGGCGAAGGCGGGUCUCUGGGCCGAAACUGACGCUGAGGAGCGAAAGCGUGGGGAGCAAACAGG
Molecule: ribosomal RNA, 253 nt
Filed under: uncultured bacterium
Lineage: Bacteria
Description: partial 16S ribosomal RNA
Rfam family: Bacterial small subunit ribosomal RNA
Source: RNAcentral